Molecule: ribosomal RNA, 250 nt
Filed under: uncultured Chroococcidiopsis sp.
Lineage: Bacteria; Bacillati; Cyanobacteriota; Cyanophyceae; Chroococcidiopsidales; Chroococcidiopsidaceae
Description: partial 16S ribosomal RNA
Rfam family: Bacterial small subunit ribosomal RNA
Source: RNAcentral
CUAGCUGUAAACGAUGGAUACUAGGCGUUGAGAGUAUCGACCUUCUCAGUGUCGUAGCUAACGCGUUAAGUAUCCCGCCUGGGGAGUACGCGCGCAAGCGUGAAACUCAAAGGAAUUGACGGGGGCCCGCACAAGCGGUGGAGUAUGUGGUUUAAUUCGAUGCAACGCGAAGAACCUUACCAGGGCUUGACAUGUCCGGAACCCUGCCCAAAGGCGGGGGUGCCUACGGGAACCGGAACACAGGUGGUGC